GACGAACGCUGGCGGCGUGCUUAACACAUGCAAGUCGAACGAAGAGCGAUGGAAGCUUGCUUCUCUCAAUCUUAGUGGCGCACGGGUGAGUAACGCGUAAUCAACCUGCCCUUCAGAGAGGGACAACAGUUGGAAACGACUGCUAAUACCGCAUACGAUCUAAUCUCGGCAUCGAGGAUAGAUGAAAGGUGGCCUCUACAUGUAAGCUAUCACUGACGGAGGGGAUUGCGUCUGAUUAGCUAGUUGGAGGGGUAACGGCCCACCAAGGCGAUGAUCAGUAGCCGGUCUGAGAGGAUGAACGGCCACAUUGGGACUGAGACACGGCCCAGACUCCUACGGGAGGCAGCAGUGGGGAAUCUUCCGCAAUGGACGAAAGUCUGACGGAGCAACGCCGCGUGAGUGAUGACGGCCUUCGGGUUGUAAAGCUCUGUUAAUCGGGACGAAAGGCCUUCUUGCGAAUAGUGAGAAGGAUUGACGGUACCGGAAUAGAAAGCCACGGCUAACUACGUG
RNAcentral lists this ribosomal RNA (510 nucleotides) under uncultured bacterium. Its description in RNAcentral is "partial 16S ribosomal RNA". It matches the Rfam family "Bacterial small subunit ribosomal RNA", at positions 28 to 507 of the family's 1533-position model. The record is from RNAcentral.